RNAcentral lists this ribosomal RNA (497 nucleotides) under uncultured bacterium. Its description in RNAcentral is "partial 16S ribosomal RNA". It matches the Rfam family "Bacterial small subunit ribosomal RNA", at positions 28 to 507 of the family's 1533-position model. The record is from RNAcentral.
GAUGAACGCUGGCGGCGUGCCUAAUACAUGCAAGUCGAGCGAACAGAUGAGGAGCUUGCUCCUCUGACGUUAGCGGCGGACGGGUGAGUAACACGUGGAUAACCUACCUAUAAGACUGGGAUAACUUCGGGAAACCGGAGCUAAUACCGGAUAAUAUAUUGAACCGCAUGGUUCAAUAGUGAAAGACGGUUUUGCUGUCACUUAUAGAUGGAUCCGCGCCGCAUUAGCUAGUUGGUAAGGUAACGGCUUACCAAGGCAACGAUGCGUAGCCGACCUGAGAGGGUGAUCGGCCACACUGGAACUGAGACACGGUCCAGACUCCUACGGGAGGCAGCAGUAGGGAAUCUUCCGCAAUCGGCGAAAGCCUGACGGAGCAACGCCGCGUGAGUGAUGAAGGUCUUCGGAUCGUAAAACUCUGUUAUUAGGGAAGAACAAAUGUGUAAGUAACUAUGCACGUCUUGACGGUACCUAAUCAGAAAGCCACGGCUAACUACGUG